RNAcentral lists this microRNA precursor (116 nucleotides) under Lotus japonicus. RNAcentral's name for it is "miR11104 stem-loop (lja-MIR11104)". The record is from miRBase by way of RNAcentral. Lineage: Eukaryota; Viridiplantae; Streptophyta; Magnoliopsida; Fabales; Fabaceae.
AUUCAAAACUCUUAGCAUCAAACGUGAUUUCAGGUAGGGGUGGCAAAAUGGGUUUGGCUCGUUGGGCCAGCCCGUUUUGCCCACCUUUUUUGGCGGGUUGGGUUGGGAUUUUGAAU